UCUCCAACCAACAUGAGAUCUCACAAUCUACCCUCUUAGGGGCCAGCGUCCUUAUUGGCACACUGCCUAGUGUCCGGCUCUGAUACCUUUUGUAACAGCCCAAGUCCACCGCUAGCAGAUAUUGUCUUCUUUGGACUUUCCCUUUC
Long non-coding RNA from Cucurbita moschata (crookneck pumpkin), 146 nucleotides. RefSeq lists it as uncharacterized. NCBI's taxonomy places the organism in Eukaryota, Viridiplantae, Streptophyta, Magnoliopsida, Cucurbitales, Cucurbitaceae. The record is from RefSeq and is a predicted model, not a curated record. The transcript is spliced from 3 exons.